UUUCUUUUUGUCUUUGUUCAUACAGUUCUUUUAACAUUUGUAGUUCUUUUUCUAAUUCAGCAAUCCUACUAUUUUUAGUUUCUUCUAUUUUUCGUAUUUCUUCCGUAGUUUGUUGUUUUAUUUUUUCUAUUUCCUUUUUCCUAUCUAUUUCUUCAUUUUCUCUUUCUAUUCUUACCAUAACUGUCAAUUUAUCUUCUAAUUUUAA
Molecule: long non-coding RNA, 205 nt
Filed under: Capsicum annuum
Lineage: Eukaryota; Viridiplantae; Streptophyta; Magnoliopsida; Solanales; Solanaceae
Description: long non-coding RNA (CANN_LNC010893)
Source: RNAcentral